CACAUUUCUGAAAUGCGUCUUUCAUACCAAGGGAGAAUGCAAUAGAGCACAAGCAUAUUCUAUGUAAAUAUUUUAACAUCUAUACCGAUUUGAAAGAAAGGAGGGUGGAAAAAAGAGAAAACAUAAUGAGAAUAUCAAUAAGGUGCUAUAUCACACAGAUUCAUCCCACUAAACGCUUGUGGAGAUGCCUUCUACAUUAGGCCAUAUCAGACGCUACGCCUAGCAAGCUGGUAGCAACUUAGCGUUGAGAGACCAGUGCCAGCAUCUGAGUGCUAUGCAAGCACAUUGAAGUUCCUGACUCUGGGUAAAUGAUAUCGCUGUUUCAUGUCAGUCCUUCAAAGAUCAGCCAACCAAGGAGGCAGCCUUCUUAACGGAGU
Molecule: non-coding RNA, 377 nt
Organism: Struthio camelus australis
Lineage: Eukaryota; Metazoa; Chordata; Aves; Struthioniformes; Struthionidae
Source: RefSeq, a predicted model, not a curated record